Molecule: ribosomal RNA, 232 nt
Filed under: uncultured bacterium
Lineage: Bacteria
Description: partial 16S ribosomal RNA
Rfam family: Bacterial small subunit ribosomal RNA
Source: RNAcentral
CUACUAAAAAACAAUCUCAGUUCAGAUUGCAGGCUGCAACUCGCCCUGCAUGAAGGUCGGAAUUGCUAGUAAUCGUAGGUCAGCAUACUACGGUGAAUACGUUCCCGGGGCCUUGUACACACCGCCCGUCAAACCAUGAGAGUUGGCAACACCCGAAGUCGGUAGUCUAACCGCAAGGAGGACGCCGCCGAAGGUGGGGUUGAUGAUUAGGGUUAAGUCGUAACAAGGUAUC